RNAcentral lists this transfer RNA (82 nucleotides) under Echinostoma caproni. It matches the Rfam family "tRNA". Rfam says of the family: Transfer RNA (tRNA) molecules are approximately 80 nucleotides in length. Their secondary structure includes four short double-helical elements and three loops (D, anti-codon, and T loops). The record is from Rfam by way of RNAcentral. Lineage: Eukaryota; Metazoa; Platyhelminthes; Trematoda; Plagiorchiida; Echinostomatidae.
GGCCUCGAAACUCAGCUGGUAGAGCGUGCGCAUACAAAACGUAGGCGACGUUCCUGCGUGGAUUCGAAUCCCACCGAAGCUA